Molecule: non-coding RNA, 1861 nt
Organism: Triticum urartu
Lineage: Eukaryota; Viridiplantae; Streptophyta; Magnoliopsida; Poales; Poaceae
Source: RefSeq, a predicted model, not a curated record
AAAUUUCGUCUGUGAUUUAGAAAUUGCUAAUACAGAGUUCGGAACAUAUAGUCACCAUAAACAUCUGGAUCAUUGGGUUUUGAAUGGGCUCCCUCCCCCUUGAGAUUAGACAGCGGCGAGCUCGAGCCGAGGAUGACGUCAGCCGAGGACGCCAUGACGUCGCCGCCAGUGGAGGAAGAACCUUGACGGGUUUGGGGAUUAGGUUUUAAGCUUGAGAAGAUAAACCAAAGUUGUGGGAUGUCAAUCCAGCGGCGCAGAAGUUUCCAAGAAUCCGACGGCGAAGUUCUUUUAGAGCAUCGGCCUUGAUGAACAAAUCUGCGCCCCUAUAUGUCUGCAGACAUGAGCCGGCCGGCCCUCAUUUGUCUGUGUCCGCAGUUUUGAACCAUCAAUUCCAUGCAACGUGGAUUCGGCCUUCGUACAAAGAUCGAAAAGAGAACUAUACUCGAUAGAGAACCAAACUUCCUACUCCUAGUUCAAGGAGAUGUCGAUGCCCGCCUUGCCGGAGCUGCGGGCCUCGUGGUCAUUGACGGUGGGGCGAAUCUUCGGCAUCUCCUCCUCCCCAUUGUUGUCCGCUAAGAUCCGCUCCCAUCUCAUGUCGCGGAGGUGGAUAAGCCACCUCCCGCUCGGACUGGAGCGAGUCAAGGAUGGCCUGGUUUUCGGCCACGAGGCCUGAAUCGGUGACAAGCGUAGCGAAGGCAGCACCCGCUUGCUCUGCCUCCAACUGUGCCUCCGCCGCGAGGUGCUCCGCCUCCACCACAUCGGCUUGGGCGAGGUAGAAGCUCUUAGGCACCUGAACGCAUGUUGACUAAUGAUAAAUCAUCGCCAGGUCAGUGUUCGAGACGCUAGGAGGACAAAUGCAAACCUGUGAACCUCGAGAUAUGUUAGCAGUUAGCACGACCAAGCCAAGAGCGUUUAAAUCACUGAAUAGAGUGGGUCAAAGAUAUCAUGCUACCUAGCACAGUAAUAAUGCAAAUAUCAUGUUUGAUAUGAUGUGUUUGUAUUAUUACUGUUACUCUUACUAGUAUCAUCUACUACUACCACGACUAUUACUGCUACUAAUACUUUUCAAACGAGGUCGCGUUGACAUAAACAGUAUUGAACCAGUCUUAGGUGGCUCCAGUUAAGAGAAAUGUCAUCUCUUUUUUCAAGAAAAAACAAAGGACCUUUGCGGUUCAUUGCAUUGAAAAGAUAGGGGUACGGUUACAAUCCUCCUAGGAGGUGGGUUUUACAGAACCAACAGUCUAUGUCAUCUCUUGAUAAUCAAUCUUGUGCGAAUGUUUAAAACAGAGGAGGGUCAGGUAGGAACAAUCUAAAAUAUACUGUGUCUAAUACAAGUUCACUAGGGUCAUGUCUGUAAAGAUAUGAAAAUGGUACCAAACCAAGGGAAUCUUAAAACCAUCUCAUAAGAAAGCUUCGUAGUAACAGGCCUAGAGCAAUACAUCGCUCAGGAAGGAUUAUACUGUAUGUCUUUUCGAGGGUCGUAUUUUCUGAUUGGAGUACAAAAGAAAACAGAUGUGAGAGAUGCAUAUCCAUUUCACAAUGGAAGAAGGUAAUGAGAGAAAGUAUAUAUACUGAACAUACUAUCUCUAGCCGAAGAUAUCUGCAUACACCAUACAAGAGGUAUAUUGAUUAUACUGUAUGUCUUUUCGAGGGUCGUAUUUUCUGAUUGGAGUACAAAAGAAAACAGAUGUGAGAGAUGCAUAUCCAUUUCACAAUGGAAGAAGGUAAUGAGAGAAAGUAUAUAUACUGAACAUACUAUCUCUAGCCGAAGAUAUCUGCAUACACCAUACAAGAGGUAUAUUCAGUUUGAAGUUUUACAACAGAGGGAAUGUAAGACAAGCAAUGGCCCAAUUCUGUGCCA